AACAUGCUUUGCACUUGUACCUGGAGGAACUGGAGACAGUGGGUUCGAACUUUAGCGGUGGUCAUCUACCUGGUGUCCAUAGUGGUUGUGGUUGCCUUAUGCAUAUGGGGAUUACAGAAACUGGAGAUUCAAAUGCACACCAAAGGCUUAGUUUAUUGCUGCAAUUGUUUUUGCUGUUGACAAUAUCUAUAUCGUUAUGGGUUAUAUUGCUACAGUUAGUGCAUUAUAUGCAACCUAAACUACAAAAACCAAUCAUAAGGAUUCUUUGGAUGGUACCCAUUUACAAUUUAGAUAAUUGGAUACUCCAGCAUUGCAAUAUAUGUGCAUACCUGCAGAGAAUUCUAUAAAGCUUAUGUCAUUUACAACUUUAUGAGAUUCCUUACCCAUUAUCUAACUAACCAUUAUCCAAAUCUGGUACUAAUUACUGAAACCAAAUAUCAGCAGAAACAUUUUCCUCCUCUAUGUUGCUGUCUACCAUAGACUACGGUAGAAGUAUUGCUGUUUAGGCAAACUAGGUAUAUUGCAGUAUACAGUUGUCAGACCAUUCACCACCAUCAUUGUUUUAAUCUGUGAACUGCUUGCUAUAUAUGAUUAGCUUUUCAUAUACUUAGACUUAUUUGGUUAUGAUAAACAACAUGUCACAAUUGUUUGCCAUGUAGUGUCUUCUGCUAUUUUACAAAAAACUAAAGGAAGAACUGAGCCUAAUCCAACAUGUUGGCAGAUUUCUUUGUGUAAUGCUGGUAUUUUUUGUUUCUCUUUGGCAAGUAGUAAUUAUUGCUUUGAUGGUAAAAUUUGGCAUUAUUUGUGAAAAGCAUGUAUGGAAAUGGCAAACUGUAGAAGCUGUGGUUCUAGGACUCCAGGACUUUAUAUCUGCAUUGAGAGUUUCCUUGUUGCUAUUGCCCAUCACUACACUUUCUCAUUAACCAUAUCUCCAAGAAACAGAACACGGCUCAUGCUCUGAUUCCUUCCUUGCCAUGUGGGAUGUUUCAGAUAUUAGUAUUUUUGAACAAGUAAGGCAUGUUGGAUGGACAGUCAGGAGACAUCAUAGGAAAAAUUUGUUUCCCGAGGAUCACAAUCAGAAUGAGCAUACAAGCUUAUUAUCAUCAUCAUGGAGAUGCAAUUUCCACUGCCUGUUUUAUGUCACUUUAAUCCAUGGGUCACUAUAAGGAUUUGGACACACUGAGACUCCCCAGACUACAGCUAUUAUGCCUAAAAUAUCUGAUGAAAUACUUAGUAAUACUAUAGGAGAGAAAAA
Molecule: long non-coding RNA, 1255 nt
Filed under: Homo sapiens (human)
Lineage: Eukaryota; Metazoa; Chordata; Mammalia; Primates; Hominidae
Description: non-protein coding lnc-CHM-9:1
Source: RNAcentral